GUGAUGUUGCAGCAGCAGCUGUGGAGGUGAACUGCGGACAAUUGGUGGAGCAGAAUCAGGCCCAGAGGUGGAAAGGGGAAGGACAGAGCAGCUUUCUCCUCCACAACAAGAUGAACAUUGCAGUGGGCAUACCAUGGAGCCAGACCACCAGCAGAGCAUUAAACAAGGACAGAUGUGAAUGCCAGGAUAAAAAUGAAGACAUUCCUGAAGUCGUGAUCCCUUGAAAACAAAUUCACAAGGAAGAAACAAGGGACCAGAGAAAGCCCAUUUCAAAAGCAUUCCUGUGCAGGUGGAGGGACAGUUCCAGCUCCUGCAGAAGUGCCAUUGCUGCUAUUUUCAGCAUCAGCCAAAGCUUAAUUUCUCCUCCGUGGCCAACAGUUCUGGCUCAGCAGUCAUCAGCAGUGUGGGUACAGCUCUGUUUCUCUCUCUCAGCUGGGACAUACCAGCCCAGCAGCUGCUGCCUGUGUCCUGCACCAGCCCUGGGCUUCCUCACCCAGCACUGCCCAAAGAUGCUCCCCACCACCUGCGGGCACCCCAAAAAAUAGUCAAGCAAAAUCCCUUUCUCUUGAAUUAACAGCAAUACUUCACCGAGCACCACAGGGAUGGAAAUGGCCCUUAUUGUGGCUUUUGGCUUUGCAGCCACUUCCAGUAGGCAGCACGGGUCCUCUGGCAGCAGAAGCCAGCUGAUAUACUAAACUACGCUAAAGUAGUGUUUAGAGAAAUAGUAAUUACUAACAUCCUCUCUCGGUCAAGCCGACACUAACCAGGCCUACUGCUAGGUGUGUGUAUAUACAUACUCCCACUCAACAGAUAAAUAGAUAUGUGCAUAUACCCCAGGAAAAAUACCUCUCAGUAAGGUGACAAGGUCUUACUUUAAAUCAAGUGCUUGACACUAAUAAAAACAAUGUAUUCGCCCAUAAGAUCUCACAUAUUGCCUGGGUACAAGGUAAGUCAAUAUUAAGCAAACCUUUAUUUUCUGUACCCUCUGUUGGUUUUUUCUGUAUCACAAGUAUUCUUUGCAUCUUUCUAGACAUUUGUAAACAGACCCCUAAAAUAUAAGCUUAUUAUAUUGUUUGCUUGAAAUGAAUAUAAUCAAAGGAAAUACAGUGGAAAUUUGGCAAGAAUUGCAUGCAUUUGCGUUCUGUGGUUUUCAAAUGGCCCAAAAUGCUGACAAUUUUACUUAAAGACGAUCUAUCAUUACUGCCUCCCUUCUCAUAAGGGAUUUUACUAUGCAAACUCUUUUGCCUGAUUUUUUUUAAAGAAUUACAGGUGGGAGGUAAAAUCUUCACAGGUAUCCACAUGACUUGGGGGGUAAUACCAAACUGAUUAGGAUGUCAAAGUACCUUUUGCAGAGAGGCAAAGGCUCAUUAAAUAUUUAGAUGUUUUGAAAAUUUCAUCUAAUGCUUUUACCCAACAAAUUUCCCUAUAAUUUUUGAAAGACUAUCAAUCAAAUCAGCAGCAAAUAAUUCACAAUCUCUUAAUAGUAGACAAAUCUAAUUUAUGAUAAAUGUUUGUGUAUAACAAAAUACCAUUUGAUGGUUUGAUGAAGUCAUCAAAGAGUAAUUAGGAAAAAAAUUCUUACUAGGCCAUCUUAUUGCCUACAGCUAUUUGUUGCUAUUCUUAUUAGUAGAGAAAUCAGGUACUGGCAGUUAACAUAAACAGUGCACAGACAAAAGUGUUGAUAGCUACCUUAGAGAUACCAUCAAUAGAAUUAUGUAUCUAAUAUGUUUCUGGCAGCAUUUAUUAGAUAUUGAUUUCUGUAGAGGAAAAACAGUGGAUGAUUUUACA
Phalacrocorax carbo (great cormorant) is the source of this 1788-nucleotide non-coding RNA. The record is from RefSeq and is a predicted model, not a curated record. NCBI's taxonomy places the organism in Eukaryota, Metazoa, Chordata, Aves, Suliformes, Phalacrocoracidae.